CCUACGGGCGGCAGCAGUAGGGAAUCUUCCACAAUGGGCGAAAGCCUGAUGGAGCAACGCCGCGUGGGUGAAGAAGGUCUUCGGAUCGUAAAACCCUGUUGUUAGAGAAGAAAGUGUGGGAGAGUAACUGUUCACGUUUCGACGGUAUCUAACCAGACAGCCACGGCUAACUACGUGCCAGCAGCCGCGGUAAUACGUAGGUGGCAAGCGUUAUCCGGAUUUAUUGGGCGUAAAUGGAACGCAGUCGGGCUUUUAAGUCUGAUGUGAAAGCCUUCGGCUUAACCGGAGGAGUGCAUUGGAAACUGGGAGACUGGAGUGCAGAAGAGGAGAGUGGAAUUCCAUGUGUAGCGGUGAAAUGCGUAGAUAUAUGGAAGAACACCAGUGGCGAAGGCGGCUCUCUGGGCUGUAACUGACGCUGAGGUUCGAAAGCGUGGGUAGCAAACAGGAUUAGAUACCCGAGUAGUC
This 465-nucleotide ribosomal RNA is filed under the name uncultured bacterium. RNAcentral's name for it is "partial 16S ribosomal RNA". It matches the Rfam family "Bacterial small subunit ribosomal RNA", at positions 338 to 795 of the family's 1533-position model. The record is from RNAcentral.